Molecule: long non-coding RNA, 448 nt
Filed under: Gallus gallus (chicken)
Lineage: Eukaryota; Metazoa; Chordata; Aves; Galliformes; Phasianidae
Source: RNAcentral
CCUCUCUCUCUUUUCUUCUUUCUUUUUCUCUUCAGCUUCAAUCAUUCCAGCAUACAAAAAAAAAUUUUUUUUAAAUGGUAUGCUGUGUUUACACUCUGAAUGCUCACACAAAAAGUGUCAGCAAAGUGCACACAGAUAUAUGUACACAUUGUGGGUUGUCAUCAGUGUAGUGGUAGGCUUUUUUCCAUCCGUGAAUUAUCCUGCCUGAGACAAGAUGAGUUGGCUGCCCAGGAGCUGAGAUCUCAGUCUUAGAGGUACCGCCUCUAAACAGAUGAAGUCUGAAGAACUUCUGCCUAAGGCCAGAACCAAGAGAAUGGAAGAAGAUCUCCUCUGAAUCUAUCAGCCUGAAAGGAGAAACAGCAGCUACUGCUGCCACUGAUGUGUGAAAUCUGCUGCCCAGAAGGAAGCCUUUGUAGCUGCUGUUCAGCCUGCCUCAGUCUGCAAACAC